This 253-nucleotide ribosomal RNA is filed under the name uncultured bacterium. RNAcentral's name for it is "partial 16S ribosomal RNA". It matches the Rfam family "Bacterial small subunit ribosomal RNA", at positions 524 to 776 of the family's 1533-position model. The record is from RNAcentral.
UACGAAGGGGGCGAGCGUUGUUCGGAAUUACUGGGCGUAAAGGGCGCGUAGGCGGUGUGUCAAGUCAGGCGUGAAAGCCCCGGGCUCAACCUGGGAACCGCGCUUGAGACUGGCACGCUAGAGUUCGGGAGAGGAUGGUGGAAUUCCUGGUGUAGCGGUGAAAUGCGCAGAUAUCAGGAGGAACACCGAUGGCGAAGGCAGCUCGCUGGGACGGUACUGACGCUGAGGCGCGAAAGCGUGGGGAGCAAACAGG